GCUACGGUGGUCUAGCGGUUAGAACGCUGGCCUUGUAAUCCUGGUCUCGGGUUCGAUUCCCGGCGGUGCCC
Non-coding RNA from Zootermopsis nevadensis, 71 nucleotides. The record is from Rfam. Lineage: Eukaryota; Metazoa; Arthropoda; Insecta; Blattodea; Termopsidae.